This is an RNA transcript of Thunnus maccoyii (southern bluefin tuna), 4594 nucleotides long. It is a transcript of the gene named E3 ubiquitin-protein ligase TRIM21-like, with no coding region annotated. Lineage: Eukaryota; Metazoa; Chordata; Actinopteri; Scombriformes; Scombridae. The transcript is spliced from 3 exons. The record is from RefSeq and is a predicted model, not a curated record.
AGAUGUACCAACAUCUCUGCUUUAGGUCUUUAGAAUCUACAAAUAAAGAAAUAAAAACCUUCAGUUGUGGCAGAUUAGCAACAUAAAUACAGACUUUUGUCUGCUUUUGGUCCCUCGUGUCUGUUGGAAACACUAGACUGUGUGUAACAAAAAGGAUGAUCAGGAGUUAUUAGUAAGAAGCAGUGUGUAUUCCACAUCUUUAGAUUUUUAGAGCAGAGGGAGUUUUCAACCAAUGCUUUCUCUUCACUUGACUUUCUUUAGAUGCAAUAUACUACUUGAAAAUUCCUUAUUUGAACAAUGUGAAAACUGUGAAAAUGGUCUUACUAUUGUUAUUUGAGCUCAGUUAUUUUUUAACUGAGCUCAGUGGUUGUCUUUUUGUAAAUAUAUAUUCUAAUGGCUGCUGUAGCAAAGAAUAUAUGAAAGAAAUGAUCAAGCCUCCUGUCACUAGAGGAUGCCCACAUGCACCUCCCCAUGAAAUGAAUCCUGUGCCAUAAAUAUCCCACAAUAAUCACCCUGAAGGAGGAAACAAUACAUCACUAACGGAGCUGCAGUGAGAGGCGGAGCAAUAGUGGAAAAACGGGUGAACUUCAACGUCACAUUUCUGAAAUGAAACUUAAAGUCUGUCAAAGCAACAGGAGAACUGCAGUUGAGACAACUCUGUGUUUCUCUCCACAGACAAUUUAAACUAAGUUCAUCAGGUCUUUCUCAUCUACAGCAGAAACACUGUGUGUAGAUAUGGCUGCUGCCACUAGUCUGCUGUCCGAAGAUCAGUUUCUGUGCUCCAUCUGCCUGGAUGUGUUCACUGAUCCAGUCAGUACACCAUGUGGACACAACUUCUGCAAAAACUGCAUCAGUGAACACUGGAAUAUUGCUGUCCAAUGCCAGUGUCCCAUCUGUAAAACGCUUUUCUACACAAAACCUGAGCUGCAGGUCAACAUUUUCAUCUCUGAGAUGGUUGAUCGGUUCAGACAGUCAGCUCAACAGAGAGCCAGCAGUGGCAGAUCAGAGCAACAAGCUGCCAAACCAGGAGAAGUUACCUGUGACGUCUGCACUGGAACCAAACUGAAGGCUGUGAAGUCCUGUCUGGUGUGUCUGGUGUCCUACUGUGAGACUCACCUGGAGCCUCAUCUGACAGCAUCAGGACUGAAAAUACAUCAGCUGAUUGAUCCUGUGGAGAACCUGGAGGGAAGAAUGUGUGUGAAGCACAAUAAACUGCUGGAGUUGUUCUGCAAGGAUGAUCAGACAUCUGUCUGUAUGGUCUGCACUAUUUUAGACCACAAAGCACAUGAAGUUGUUCCUCUAAAAGAGGAAUAUGGAGAAAAGAAGGCCGAGCUGGGGAAGACAGAGACUGAGAUUCAGCAGAUGAUCCAGAAGAGACGACUGAAGAUUCAAGAGAUCAAACAAACCAUCAAGCUCAGCAAGGAAAAUGCAGACAAAGAGAUAGCAGAAGAUGUUCAGGCCUUUACCAAACUGAAGGAGUCAGUUGAGAAAUACCAGGCCAGAGUCAUCACAAUGAUUGAAGAGAAGCAGAAAAGGACAGAGAAACAGGCUGAAGGAUUCAUCAAAGAGCUUGAGCAGGAAAUCUCUGAGCUGGAGAAGCUCACACACUCUGAAGACCACUUCAACCUCCUCCAAAGCCUCCCGUCCCUGAGCGCUGCUCCACCAUCCAAAGACUGGACAGAAGUCAGAGUCCGUCCGCUGUCAUAUGAUGGGACUGUGAAGACAGUUGUGGCUCAACUGGUGGAGAGACUGAAGAAAAUGUUCGCAUACAGUGAGCUGAUGUGGGUCCAGCAGUAUGCAGUGGAUGUGACACUUGAUCCUGAUACAGCAAAUCCAAAACUCAUCCUGUCUGAUGAUGGGAAACAAGUCCAUCAUGUUGAUGCAAAGAAGAAUCUCCCAGACAACCCAGAAAGAUUUUCUAUUGGUCUCUGUGUCUUAGGGAAGCAAACUGUUUCUUCUGGAAAAAUGUACUUUGAGGUUCAGGUUAAAGGAAAGCCUGAUUGGGUUUCAGGAGUUUCCAGAGAGUCAAUCAACAGGAAGGGGCUAUCUGCAAUUAGCUGUAAGAAUGGUUACUGGACUGUAUGCUUGAAGAAUGAAAAUUGGUGCUUUGCUCUUGCUGAUACUCCAGUUCGUCUCUCUCUGAAGUCAAAGCCUCAGAAGGUUGGGGUGUUUGUGGAUUAUGAGGAGGGUCUGGUCUCCUUUUAUGAUGUCAAUGCUUCAGCUCUUAUCUACUCCUAUACCGGCUGCUCCUUCAAUGAGAAUCUCCUCCCAUUCUUCUGUCCCUGUUCUAAUCAGGGCGGUAAAAACUCCACCCCUUUGAUCAUCUCCCCUGUCCACCACACUGAGUAGAGAAACCAUUUGAUUUCCUUGAAAAAGACUCACUUUUUUAUUUUGAGAAAUCUUCAUGUUUAGUGGUAAUGUACAGUGUCUACUUGUUGUCUCCAGAUUCUAGUUGUUGUGGAUGUUUGCCCUCUUUAUUAUAUAUCCCAUUUGUACUUACUACUGCAAGACAGUAAUUUCACCAUGAAUAAUUUGUUUGAUUUUAUGUAAUGUUGUUUAAUCUGUUCUAAUAAGGUUAAUACCUGUCUUCAAAUGUCAAACAUCACAACAAUGUAAAUAGAAAAGGUUUUGCAUGUGUGGGUUUAGAAAAUGGCUGUUUAUAGUCCAAUAUUUACAGGGCCUAGUUUGGGUGUUUUUGAAAACACUUUAGAUUACAGACUACAGCAUAAUAGCAUAAACUAAAUAAGACAGUAUCUCUGCUUCUGCUCAACUAAUUUAGAUCCUUUAAAAAAUAUUAUUGGAGUGCAAAGUUAAAUUGGUGGAAUACUCUUUUAAUGGGACUGAAUGUUAUCUGACUAAAUUAAGUCCAACUGAAGUGAGCAAAACUUUUCUCUUUACUCUGCCUCACUAUUUAUCUAUUUUUUCUGAUAUAUGAUAUAUUAAUGUUAAAACAGCUCUGUGAUUGUGAUUUACAUCUUAUGUUAUACUUUUUCAUAUUAUUACUUUUAUUUUUAAACCAGUGAGGUCCAGAUAAAUUUCAUAACUGAAAAACAAACAACUCAGUUUGGUUGUCUCUAGAUUGCUGAACUGUGGUCUGGGGUCAAAGGUCAGGGGUAAUAUAAUCAUCUCUCCCUGGAUAUGAGGUAUCGUUUGUGUUAUUCAUAUUGUGAAGGUUUAUUUAGUUUGGUGAUUUUAAAUGUACAGUAUGUAAAGGCAUUUUAUUGUAUUUUGGAUAUGUUUUAGGAAAAAUAUAAAUAUGCCACAAUAAUUAACCGGAAGGAGGAAACAAUACAUCAUUAACAGAGCUGCAGUGAGAGGCGGAGCAAUAGUGGAAAAACAGGUGAACUUCAACGUCACUUUCCUGAAAUGAAACUUAAAGUCUGUCGAAGCAACAGAAGAACUGCAGUUGAGACAACUCUGUGUUUCUCUCUACAGACAAAUUUAGACUAAGUUCAUCAGGUCUUUCUCAUCUACAGCAGAAACACUGUGUGUAGAUAUGGCUGCUUCCACUAGUCUGCUGUCUCAAGAUCAGUUUCUGUGCUCCAUCUGCCUGGAUGUGUUCACUGAUCCAGUCAGUACACCAUGUGGACACAACUUCUGCAAAAACUGCAUCUGUGAACACUGGAAUACUGCUGUCCAAUGCCAGUGUCCCAUCUGCAAAACGCUUUUCUACACAAAACCUGAGCUGCAGGUCAAUGUUUUCAUCUCUGAGAUGGUUGAUCGGUUCAGACAGUCAGCUCAACAGAGAGCCAGCAGCAGCAGAUCAGAGCAACAAGCUGCUAAACCAGGAGAAGUUCCCUGUGACGUCUGCACUGGAACCAAACAGAAGGCUGUGAAGUCCUGUCUGGUGUGUCUGGUGUCCUACUGUGAGACUCACCUGGAGCCUCAUCUGACAGCAUCAGGACUGAAAAGACAUGAGCUGAUUGAUCCUGUAGAGAACAUGGAAGGCAGGAUGUGUAUUAAGCACGAUAAAGCUCUGGAGUUGUUCUGCAAGGAUGAUCGGGCAUGUGUCUGUAUGCUCUGCACUAUUUUAGACCAUAAGACACAUAAUGUUGUUCCGCUGAAACAAGAAUAUGAAGAAAAGAAGGCCGAGCUGGUGAAGACAGAGGCUGAGAUUCAGCAGAUGAUCCAGAAGAGACGACUGAAAAUUCAAGAGAUCAAACAAUCCAUCAAGCUCAACAAGGAAAAUGCAGACAAAGAGAUAGCAGAAGAUGUUCAUGUCUUCACCAAACUGAAGGAGUUAGUUGAGAAAUACCAGGCCAGAGUCAUCACAAUGAUUGAAGAGAAGCAGAAAAGGACAGAGAAACAGGCUGAAGGAUUCAUCAAAGAGCUGGAGCAGGAAAUCUCUGAGCUGAAGAAGAGGAGUUCUGAUCUGGAGAAGCUCUCACGCUCUGAAGACCACCUCCACCUCCUCCAAAGCUUCCCGUCCCUGAACGCUGCUCCACCCACCAAAGACUGGACAGAAAUCGGAGUCUGUCAGCCGUCAUAUGAUGGGAUUGUGAGGACAGCUGUGGUUCAGCUGAAGGAAACACUGAAGAAAGUGUGUCCAGAGGCUGAGCUGAUGUGGGUCCAGCAGUAUGCAGCGGAUGUGACA